GAUGAACGCUGGCGGCGUGCCUAAUACAUGCAAGUCGAGCGAACAGACGAGGAGCUUGCUCCUCUGACGUUAGCGGCGGACGGGUGAGUAACACGUGGAUAACCUACCUAUAAGACUGGGAUAACUUCGGGAAACCGGAGCUAAUACCGGAUAAUAUAUUGAACCGCAUGGUUCAAUAGUGAAAGACGGUUUUGCUGUCACUAUAAGUUGGACCCGCGCCGCAUUAGCUAGUUGGUAAGGUAACGGCUUACCAAGGCAACGAUGCGUAGCCGACCUGAGAGGGUGAUCGGCCACACUGGAACUGAGACACGGUCCAGACUCCUACGGGAGGCAGCAGUAGGGAAUCUUCCGCAAUGGGCGAAAGCCUGACGGAGCAACGCCGCGUGAGUGAUGAAGGUCUUCGGAUCGUAAAACUCUGUUAUUAGGGAAGAACAAAUGUGUAAGUAACUAUGCACGUCUUGACGGUACCUAAUCAGAAAGCCACGGCUAACUACGUG
This 497-nucleotide ribosomal RNA is filed under the name uncultured bacterium. RNAcentral describes it as "partial 16S ribosomal RNA". It matches the Rfam family "Bacterial small subunit ribosomal RNA", at positions 28 to 507 of the family's 1533-position model. The record is from RNAcentral.